Molecule: ribosomal RNA, 1554 nt
Filed under: Salmonella enterica subsp. enterica serovar Senftenberg
Lineage: Bacteria; Pseudomonadati; Pseudomonadota; Gammaproteobacteria; Enterobacterales; Enterobacteriaceae
Also listed under: 1 other name
Description: bacterial SSU rRNA
Rfam family: Bacterial small subunit ribosomal RNA
Source: RNAcentral
UUAAAUUGAAGAGUUUGAUCAUGGCUCAGAUUGAACGCUGGCGGCAGGCCUAACACAUGCAAGUCGAACGGUAACAGAAAGCAGCUUGCUGCUUUGCUGACGAGUGGCGGACGGGUGAGUAAUGUCUGGGAAACUGCCUGAUGGAGGGGGAUAACUACUGGAAACGGUGGCUAAUACCGCAUAACGUCGCAAGACCAAAGAGGGGGACCUUCGGGCCUCUUGCCAUCAGAUGUGCCCAGAUGGGAUUAGCUUGUUGGUGAGGUAACGGCUCACCAAGGCGACGAUCCCUAGCUGGUCUGAGAGGAUGACCAGCCACACUGGAACUGAGACACGGUCCAGACUCCUACGGGAGGCAGCAGUGGGGAAUAUUGCACAAUGGGCGCAAGCCUGAUGCAGCCAUGCCGCGUGUAUGAAGAAGGCCUUCGGGUUGUAAAGUACUUUCAGCGGGGAGGAAGGUGUUGUGGUUAAUAACCGCAGCAAUUGACGUUACCCGCAGAAGAAGCACCGGCUAACUCCGUGCCAGCAGCCGCGGUAAUACGGAGGGUGCAAGCGUUAAUCGGAAUUACUGGGCGUAAAGCGCACGCAGGCGGUCUGUCAAGUCGGAUGUGAAAUCCCCGGGCUCAACCUGGGAACUGCAUUCGAAACUGGCAGGCUUGAGUCUUGUAGAGGGGGGUAGAAUUCCAGGUGUAGCGGUGAAAUGCGUAGAGAUCUGGAGGAAUACCGGUGGCGAAGGCGGCCCCCUGGACAAAGACUGACGCUCAGGUGCGAAAGCGUGGGGAGCAAACAGGAUUAGAUACCCUGGUAGUCCACGCCGUAAACGAUGUCUACUUGGAGGUUGUGCCCUUGAGGCGUGGCUUCCGGAGCUAACGCGUUAAGUAGACCGCCUGGGGAGUACGGCCGCAAGGUUAAAACUCAAAUGAAUUGACGGGGGCCCGCACAAGCGGUGGAGCAUGUGGUUUAAUUCGAUGCAACGCGAAGAACCUUACCUGGUCUUGACAUCCACGGAAGUUUUCAGAGAUGAGAAUGUGCCUUCGGGAACCGUGAGACAGGUGCUGCAUGGCUGUCGUCAGCUCGUGUUGUGAAAUGUUGGGUUAAGUCCCGCAACGAGCGCAACCCUUAUCCUUUGUUGCCAGCGGUUAGGCCGGGAACUCAAAGGAGACUGCCAGUGAUAAACUGGAGGAAGGUGGGGAUGACGUCAAGUCAUCAUGGCCCUUACGACCAGGGCUACACACGUGCUACAAUGGCGCAUACAAAGAGAAGCGACCUCGCGAGAGCAAGCGGACCUCAUAAAGUGCGUCGUAGUCCGGAUUGGAGUCUGCAACUCGACUCCAUGAAGUCGGAAUCGCUAGUAAUCGUGGAUCAGAAUGCCACGGUGAAUACGUUCCCGGGCCUUGUACACACCGCCCGUCACACCAUGGGAGUGGGUUGCAAAAGAAGUAGGUAGCUUAACCUUCGGGAGGGCGCUUACCACUUUGUGAUUCAUGACUGGGGUGAAGUCGUAACAAGGUAACCGUAGGGGAACCUGCGGUUGGAUCACCUCCUUACCUUAAAGAA